This 107-nucleotide small nucleolar RNA is filed under the name Gossypium hirsutum (cotton). RNAcentral's name for it is "Plant small nucleolar RNA R71". It matches the Rfam family "Plant small nucleolar RNA R71". Rfam says of the family: R71 is a member of the C/D box family of snoRNAs containing the C (UGAUGA) and D (CUGA) box motifs. Multiple nearly identical copies of this snoRNA have been identified in Arabidopsis, and it is thought to function as a 2'-O-ribose methylation guide for 18S ribosomal RNA. Lineage: Eukaryota; Viridiplantae; Streptophyta; Magnoliopsida; Malvales; Malvaceae. The record is from Rfam by way of RNAcentral.
AUUCCGUGAGGAGGGCAUCUUCAUAAUAGUUCUUUAAACCUUUCCAAUGCCUCAUCCAAGGACUUGUCAUCCAUCUGUUGGAAGGUAGUGAUAUCGUUCCUUAACUU